This 222-nucleotide non-coding RNA is filed under the name Paenibacillus dendritiformis. Lineage: Bacteria; Bacillati; Bacillota; Bacilli; Caryophanales; Paenibacillaceae. RNAcentral also lists the same sequence under 1 other name. The record is from RNAcentral.
GCGAAUAGUAAUCUAUCGGGUCCUUGCGCCGCACGAGCAUUGAGCUUGUGCCCAAGGAUAAUAGGGAAGCCGGUGUGAAUCCGGCACGGUCCCGCCACUGUAAAUGGAGUGUUGCGCUCAGAAUGCCACUGUCUGCGCGGAUUCAAGCGAAUCCGCUGAUGGGAAGGCGAGCACAGCAAGAUGCUCCUAAGUCAGGAGACCUGCCCGAUAGGAAGACGAGUU